Molecule: ribosomal RNA, 633 nt
Filed under: Lentilactobacillus buchneri
Lineage: Bacteria; Bacillati; Bacillota; Bacilli; Lactobacillales; Lactobacillaceae
Description: bacterial SSU rRNA
Rfam family: Bacterial small subunit ribosomal RNA
Source: RNAcentral
AGUCGAACGCGUCUCCGUUGAUGAUUUUAGGUGCUUGCACUUGAAAGAUUUAACAUUGAGACGAGUGGCGAACUGGUGAGUAACACGUGGGUAACCUGCCCUUGAAGUAGGGGAUAACACUUGGAAACAGGUGCUAAUACCGUAUAACAACCAAAACCACCUGGUUUUGGUUUAAAAGACGGCUUCGGCUGUCACUUUAGGAUGGACCCGCGGCGUAUUAGCUUGUUGGUAAGGUAACGGCUUACCAAGGCGAUGAUACGUAGCCGACCUGAGAGGGUAAUCGGCCACAUUGGGACUGAGACACGGCCCAAACUCCUACGGGAGGCAGCAGUAGGGAAUCUUCCACAAUGGACGAAAGUCUGAUGGAGCAACGCCGCGUGAGUGAUGAAGGGUUUCGGCUCGUAAAACUCUGUUGUUGGAGAAGAACAGGUGUCAGAGUAACUGUUGACAUCUUGACGGUAUCCAACCAGAAAGCCACGGCUAACUACGUGCCAGCAGCCGCGGUAAUACGUAGGUGGCAAGCGUUGUCCGGAUUUAUUGGGCGUAAAGCGAGCGCAGGCGGUUUUUUAGGUCUGAUGUGAAAGCCUUCGGCUUAACCGGAGAAGUGCAUCGGAAACCGGGAGACUUGAGUGC